GGGGGGCGCGCAGGAUCUUGGGCUGUGUCCCCUGGCACCCUGGGAUCCAGCGCCUGUGCUGCUGGAAUCGCGCUCCCGGGGCGCAGCCCCCU
RNAcentral lists this microRNA precursor (92 nucleotides) under Canis lupus dingo (dingo). RNAcentral describes it as "mir-8799 microRNA precursor family". It matches the Rfam family "mir-8799 microRNA precursor family". Lineage: Eukaryota; Metazoa; Chordata; Mammalia; Carnivora; Canidae. The record is from Rfam by way of RNAcentral.